GUCAGGAUGGCCGAGCGGUCCAAGGUCGCGCAGUCUCCACUGCAGGCGUGGGUUCAAAUCCCACUUCUGACA
RNAcentral lists this transfer RNA (72 nucleotides) under Perca fluviatilis (European perch). It matches the Rfam family "tRNA". Rfam says of the family: Transfer RNA (tRNA) molecules are approximately 80 nucleotides in length. Their secondary structure includes four short double-helical elements and three loops (D, anti-codon, and T loops). Further hydrogen bonds mediate the characteristic L-shaped molecular structure. tRNAs have two regions of fundamental functional importance: the anti-codon, which is responsible for specific mRNA codon recognition, and the 3' end, to which the tRNAs corresponding amino acid is attached (by aminoacyl-tRNA synthetases). tRNAs cope with the degeneracy of the genetic code in two manners: having more than one tRNA (with a specific anti-codon) for a particular amino acid; and 'wobble' base-pairing, i.e. permitting non-standard base-pairing at the 3rd anti-codon position. The record is from Rfam by way of RNAcentral. Lineage: Eukaryota; Metazoa; Chordata; Actinopteri; Perciformes; Percidae.